RNAcentral lists this unclassified non-coding RNA (1660 nucleotides) under Homo sapiens (human). RNAcentral's name for it is "SLC67A1 antisense RNA (ENSG00000274454.4)". The record is from RNAcentral. Lineage: Eukaryota; Metazoa; Chordata; Mammalia; Primates; Hominidae.
AGGGAAGUGGGGUGGCUCCCCAUGGCUUCUCCCGGGGCUGGCACUGAAGCUGGAGCACAGGAUGUGCUGACGGGGGUCCAGAGGCAGAGUCCUUAACUUACUCAGCUUAAGCGUGGCAUGGAGUCCCAACUGGGAGGGGCCCUGGCAGCAUGAAACCCCCACCCCCACUCUCUGCGACGGCCCAGAUGGAGGGCAGGAGGAACAGCGGUUCAGCCCUGGCUGGGGCUGCAGGGGCUGGGGUGUGUUACUCACUGGCACGAUGGAGAACUGCAUGAAGAGGCAGCGGAGUGCUGUCUGUCCCCACCCUUCCCCGCCCGGCCUCCAACUGGUGGGAACUGGAUUUUGCCGCUGCAAAUGACUUCCCCAUAUUUUGCCACAUUAACAGCUGACUGCACACCUGAGCCCCUAGGUGAAGCAGGGCCUCAGGUAGCCAGGGAACUGGUUGAGCAGAGGAAAUCGGAGAGACCUUUUUUUUUGUCAUGAACAGGCUCAGUGUGAAUGGGGGAACUUCCUGGUUCUGAGGGAAUGUGGGAAAAUUGCCCUUUAGGCUGGGUGAAGAAGAAAGCAAGUGGAACCCUGGCACCCCUGGACUUCCUCCUCCAGAGGAAGCGGCUUUGGUUGUGGGCCAGCGAGCCUGUGCGUCCCCAGCCCCAGGGCAUUCACCGCUUCAGAGAAGCAAGGCGACAGUUCUGCCGGAUGAGAGGAUCCAGGCUGACUGGAGGAAGGAAGGGCUUUGGCUCAUCUGGGCUCAGGUUUGGGAGAGAUGGCUUCUCAGAGGAGGUGAUGCCUCAGCCAGUCUUAAAGGCAAUGCGGUGUGCAGAGGGUGCUUGGUGGUUCUCUCCUGAUGGCCCCGCAGGGUCUGCAGCCUCCAUCUGGCCAGCAGAAGGCGCAGAAAGACUGCCUGGGCAGCUCGGACGUGACCGCCUGGAAGUGGUGUACAGCGUUCCUGACAACGUUCCCGGCCAAAACGGGUCCCGCCGCCCACUUGUGUGCAAGAUAACUGGAAAAUGUCUUUCUGUGUGCUCCGAGGAGAAUGCAAAGGCUGGUGGAUGUAGUGCCUUUCCUCUACUGCUCUCUCAGCUGGGGGCAAGAAUGACAGGACGUGAACAUGCACACAAGGGCCCGGAACUCACGACCCCCGACAGCGGUCUCCCCCGCCCCCCCAACCCCGCGCUUGCAGGAUUUAGGGCACUAGCACAGCACAGUCCACCCCUUGGGACUAGCACCCCCUCCGCAGUUCUGCUCUCUGCAGCAACAUAGAGUACAAAUAUUGUUCCUUUUGUUUCUUUUUUCCCUUUGGAUACAUUUUUAAUUACAAAAAUAGAGCUUGAUUGUUGCACCUAGACAGAUGUUUGCUUGCUUCUGGGCCCAUUGGGCCUCCUCUCAGAGCCUGGAACUCCCAGCCCCCAGCUCCUGGGGUGCCUUCCUCCAGGUGUGUCCCUGGCUUGGGCUGGGGGGACACAGCCCCGCUCCUGGGACGUGCAGGUUUAAAAUGCUAUUGGGUACCAUCUUUGAUCGAAUUCAGAGUGACAGACUUAGAGCAGGUCACCUCUCAGCUUCUAACGAGGCCAAGACGGAGGAAUCCCCACAGCACUGGGUUUGACUCUGUAAUUAAGCUGGUAAAGUGGAAAAAUAAAAGUAGGAAACCUAAGUGGAAACC